GAUGAAGAACGCAGCGAAAUGCGAUACUUGGUGUGAAUUGCAGAAUCCCGUGAACCAUCGAGUCUUUGAACGCAAGUUGCGCCCGAAGCCAUUAGGCCGAGGGCACGCCUGCCUGGGCGUCACACGUCGUUGCCCCCCCAUCUACUCCUUCGGGAUUGCGGGGGGCGGAUGAUGGCCUCUCGUGCGCCUCGUCGCGCGGUUGGCCUAAAUGCCAAGUCCUCGGCGACGCACGUCACGACAAUCGGUGGUUGCGAAACCUCGGUUGCCUGUCGUGUGCGGUCGUCGCGCAUCGAGGGCUCGAAAAAAUUGCCGGGCUUCGGCUCGACUUUCAACGCGACCCCAGGUCAGGCGGGGUUACCCGCUGAAUUUAAGCAUAUCAAUAGCGGAGGA
Molecule: unclassified non-coding RNA, 390 nt
Filed under: soil metagenome
Description: partial contains 5.8S ribosomal RNA, internal transcribed spacer 2, and large subunit ribosomal RNA
Rfam family: 5.8S ribosomal RNA (bases 1-122)
Source: RNAcentral